Phyllopteryx taeniolatus (common seadragon) is the source of this 6149-nucleotide RNA transcript. It is a transcript of the gene named NADH:ubiquinone oxidoreductase core subunit S3, with no coding region annotated. The record is from RefSeq and is a predicted model, not a curated record. NCBI's taxonomy places the organism in Eukaryota, Metazoa, Chordata, Actinopteri, Syngnathiformes, Syngnathidae. The transcript has 3 exons.
GGUACCGGCUGGCCAAGCGGAAUGCAGCUUUGGUGGUCGCUGAAGCAAAAACGUGGGCAUGGGAGGAGUUCGGUGAGACCAUGGAGAAAGACUUCCGGACGGCUUCGAGGAAAUUCUGGUCCACCAUCCGACGUCUCAGGAGGGGAAAGCAGUGCACCAUCAACACUGUGUAUCGUGGGGAUGGGGCGCUGCUGACCUCGACUCGGGACGUUGUGAGCCGGUGGGGAGAAUACUUCCUCAAUUCCACCGACACGCCUUCCCAUGAGGGAGCAGAGUCUGGGUUCUCUGAGGCGGGCUCUCCUAUCUCUGGGGUUGAGGUCACCGAGGUGGUUAAAAAGCUCCUCGGUGGCAAGGCCACAGGGGUGGAUGAGAUUCACCCGGAGUUCCUCAAGGCUCUGGAUGUUGUAGGGCUGUCCUGGUUGACACACCUCUGCAACAUCGCGUGGACAUCGAGGACAGUGCCUCUGGAUUGGCAGACUGGGGUGGUGGUCCCCCUUUUUAAGAAGGGGGACCCGAGGGUGUGUUCCAACUACAGAGGGAUCACACUCCUCAACCUCCCUGGUAAGGUCUAUUCAGGGGUGCUGGAGAGGAGGGUCCGUCGGGAAGUUGAAUCCCAGAUUCAGGAGGAGCAGUGUGGUUUUCGUCCUAGCCGUGGAACAGUGGACCAGCUCUACACCCUUGGCAGGGUCCUCGAAGGUGCAUGGGAGUUCGCCCAAACAGUCUACAUGUAUUUUGUGGACUUGGAGAAGGCGUUCGACCGUGUCCCUCGGGUGGUCCUGUGGGGGGUACUUCGGGAGUAUGGGGUACCGAACCCUCCGAUACGGGCUGUUCGGUCCCUGUACGACCGGAGUCAGAGUUUGGUCCGCAUAUCCGGCAGUAAGUCGGACUCGUUUCCGGUGAGGGUUGGCCUCCGCCAAGGCUGCCCUUUGUCACCGAUUCUGUUCAUAACUUUUAUGGACAGAAUUUGUAGGCGCAGCCGAGGCGUAGAGGGGGUCCGGUUUGGUGGCCUCAGUAAUGCAUCUCUGCUUUUUGCAGAUGUAGUUCUGUUGGCUUCAUCAAGCCGUGACCUCCAACUCUCAUCGGAGCAGUUCCCAGCCGAGUGUGAAGCGGCUGGGAUGAGAAUCAGCACCUCCAAAUCUGAGACCAUGGUCCUCAGUCGGAAAAGGGUGGCGUGCCCUCUCCGGGUCGGGGAUGAGAUCCUGCCCCAAGUGGAGGAGUUCAAGUAUCUUGGGGUCUUGUUCACGAGUGAGGGAAGAAUGGAACGGGAGAUCGACAGGCGGAUCGGUGCAGCGUCUGCAGUGAUGCAGACUUUGUAUUGAUCCGUUGUGGUAAAGAAGGAGCUAAGCCGAAAGGCGAAGGUCUCGAUUUACCGGUCGAUCUACGUUCCUACCCUCACCUAUGGUCACGAGCUGUGGGUCGUGACCGAAAGAACGAGAUCCCGGAUACAAGCGGCCGAAAUGAGUUUCCUCAGCAGGUUGUCUGGGCUCUCCCUUUGAGAUAGGGUGAGAAGCUCGGUCAUCCGGGAGGAUCUCAGAGUUGAGCCGUUGCUCCUUCACAUCGAGAGGAGCCAGAUGAGGUGGCUGGGGCAUCUGAUUCGGAUGCCUCCCGGACGCCUCCCUGGUGAGGUGUUCCGGGCACGUGCCACCGGGAGGAGACCCCGGGGACGACCCAGUACACGCUGGAGAGACUACUUCCUUCGGCUGGCCUGGGAACACCUCGGGAACCGCCCGGAAGAGAUGGAUGAAGUGGCUGGGGAAAGGGAAGUCUGGGCGUCCCUCCUGGAGCUGCUGCCCCCGUGACCUGACCUCGGAUAGGCGGUAGAAGAUGGAUGGAUGGAUGGACUUUCUCUUACCGUAGUCUUAGGUUGAAUCAUAUCGAGCAAUGUCACCAUUUCUUUAAUACAAUUGUAGUUUAGUUUCUUGGGUCAAACUAAGUUUGGCUUCCUUAAAGGUCAGAGGACAAAGAUGUUAAAAAUUUUCUUGAUAAUUCUAGAACCCCUUUAAAAACCACGUCUGCCAUUUCGAAGUUAUUAUAUAGCAAAUAUACAGCAGUUACAUCGAUAAAUAUGAUGCAGAAUGCGCCUUCUGCUUUUUGCAUCUAGCGCCUUCCGGUCUUCGGCUCUAUCCGGCACUGUGACCUCACACGAGCCAAACAGCCUGUUCAUUCGGCAUUGUGUGCUAUUGUUCCAUGCCGUUGGUGGCAAGGAGUUGCAACGAGUGGCAAAAGUUUUUUUUGGGCUUUCCAAGUGAAAAACGAAUAAGUGACCAGUGGAUAGGGAAAGUCAAAUCGACAGGGGAAGAAACAUGAUCAGCUAUGGGUACCUAGAAAGCAUUCCAAAAUCUGUGCCUAUCACUUCGAACCGGUGUGUUUUGAGAAAGACCUGGCAGAAAGUAUUGGAUACAGAGGUCGAGGCUGAAACCAGCUUUUCCUAAGGCCAUCGGGACCUCAACCGCCAGCAACAGAACAAAAUCUUGCAGCCGCCACGGUGCCGCAACGAAGCGGUGUGGAUUUCCUUGUAUAUACCUACGCCUAUUAUGGUUACUAUCCACUGGGCAGUAGGAAAAAAAGACCCACGCAGUACUUUUCAGUACUGUCGUCUGUACUUUUGCUUAUUUGACAAGCCAACAGACAUGGCAAAGACUUUCUGUGCGGUGUGUUAUAACGCUACUCCAGCGAGGGGCACACAAUAUAUAGGUAUAAUGAAUAUUAUGUAAACGCUUGUGUCGUGUCACUGAAAUGUAUGAAUAUAUAAUGCAUAUAGUCGUGCUAAAAAAUAUUGGCAUCUCUGCGGUGUGAUUAUUUCAUGCCAUGACUGUAUAAAAAGACGUGCUUUUGGCAUACCGUCACGUGGACCCAAUGGCCACUCUCUUUUUCUGUUGUACUGCUGCUACUUGGCUGCUCGUCGUCAUCACCGUCAGGUUCUGACCUCCUGAUUGCCUCAAACGUACGGUAUGACGUUGCCAAGUUCAGUUGGGUGUUCCUGUAUGUCGAAAUCUUCCUCCGUAUAGAGUGUAGCGCGCUGUUUGGCAAUUGCAAUGUCACUUCCGGUAGCCCUUUCGGUGGAUAGAGUAACCGCACCCCGGUGUCUUGAGCUUCGGGUAUGUUCGGGGAGGGCUCAAUAUGCAUAAUAAAAUUGUUUGUUUUUUUAGCUAAACUAUCGUUUAAAACUUUCUGGAAGUUACGUGCAUGUAUUACAUAACAUAAACAAUGCAAAUAUGAAUUUUAACUGACCGCAUAACAUUUGUCAUCUGACCGUUAAAGCUAUAUUGGGUUAUGCUUUGUAAUACGUCAGUUUAUGACAGUCCCAACACAUGACAUUUUGAGGUAAUGACUGUCAUACUUACUGUAUUUCCAUGUGAUUGUUUUGUAUUUGCGGUCUAGAAGUGUUUCUAUCCACAUUUACUGUAAUUAUGGCUUGACUUAUGCAUUAACUGUCAUGAUACUAAUUCGUACUAAAUCAGCUUUGACUGGACCCAAAAGCAGACUGAAGCAGAGGGAGUGGAUUUAGAAUGGUAUAUUGAAGGUUGACUCAGGGUAAGGAUAUCCAAGGUGAGAUGGUGGACCGUCGGGACGUGAGCAGGUGGGGUAGCUUGGCGGCGUGGCUGGAGCGAACAUCGAGGCGGGGGCACGGAAGGAGCACUGGAGACGAAGGAGAACACGACGAUUCAGUCUGGAGAGGGAGGUUACGGGAGGAGAUCCAAACCAUCUGACCAGCCUUGUCUUCUGCCAUGGGAGAGCGAUGGAGAUUCAGCAGAACGAGUCAGAGCAGCCCAUACGGAUUGGACCCAUAAAGGAAGGUGCUCCAGGAGGCAGGAUUGCGAGCGGCAACACAGUGAAGAGCAGAUUCCAGGCUCUGGUUCGCCCGCUCUAUCUGGCCGUUGGAUUGGGGGUGGUAGCCAGAAGACAGACUGGCUGCUGCGCCCACCGCCUUGCAGAACUCCUUCCAGACAUGGGAGGAGAACUGAGGACCUCUGUCUGAGACGAUGUCUAUUGGAAUGCCAUGAAGCCUGAAUAUGUGGAGGACUAAGAGGUUGGCAGUUUCAAAAGCAGAGGGCAACUUGGGGUACAUAAUGGACACACUUGGAGAAACGAGCUAUGAUGGUGAAGAUGACUGUGUUACCUUCAGAGCACAGGGAUGUAAUUUUUGGGACACAGGGUCUCGCUGGGAGAGGACGGCUCCAGCUCCCAUGUCAGAGGCGUCAACUUCCACGAUGAACUGCAGGGAAGGGCCGGGGUGUCUCAAGAUGGGGGCACUGGUGAAUAGUUCCUUAAGGCGUUCGAAUGCUUGCGAUGCGGCAGGGGAACUGGUUGAGGUGAGACUGGUGAGGGGGACAGCAACCUUGCUGUAGUCAAGCAUGAACCGACGGUAGAAAUUGGCGAAGCCGAGGAAUCGUUGCAGCUCCUUGCGGGUGGAGGGAAUAGGCCAGUCGACAACGGCUUGGAUCUUAGCCGGGUCAGGUUGUAACUGACCCUUUGCAAUGAUGUAUUCUAAGACGUGAAUGGAGGAGAGAUGGAAUUCACACUUCUCUGGUUUAACAAAAAGGCGGCUUUCGAAUAGGCGCUGAAGGACUUGGCAGACAUGCUGGUGAUGUACGUCAGGGAGCGAGAGAAGAUGACGACGUCGUCAAGAUAUACAAAGACGAACCGGUUGAGCAUGUCACGGAGGACGUCGUUGGUGGUUUGAAAACUGCGUGGGCGUUGGUUAAUCCAAAAGCCAUGACCAGGUGCUGUGUGUCUGAGGGGAGUGUUGAAGGCAGUCUUCCAUUCGUCCCCCUCUCGAAUGCGGAUGAGAUGAUACGCGUUGCGUAGAUCCAACUUGGUGAAUAUUUGAAUGUUGCAGAGGGGUUCAAAGGAUGGGUCAAUUAGUGGCAGGGGGGCUUUAUUUUUCACUGUCAUUGAGACCACGGAAGUCAAUACAAAGGCGGAGAGUGGUAUCUUUCUUGUUGACAAAAAUGAAUCCGCCCCCCAGUGGAGAAGAGGCGGGGCAGAUGAGUCCUGAGGCAAGGGAGUCGCGGAUAUACUCCUCCAUAGCUUCCUUUUCAGGAUGGGACAGGUUAAACAGGCAGCUGGAAGGGAGAGGGGCACAGGGCUGGAGGUCAAUGGCGCAGUCAUAGGGGCGGUGGAGGGGAGUGAAAUGGCAAGAUCUUUACUGAACACUGGCGAAAGGUUGUGGUAUUUCUCCGGAACCCGGGAGAGAUCGACAGGUGUGGCAGGUGGCGGAGGUUUACUGGAGGGAGGAAUGGCCAGGAGAAGACAAUGGGAGUGACAGAAUGGACUCCAAACAGUGAUGGACAAGAGGCAGCAUUGGUCUGUGGGGUAACUAAAUGGUUGAAGGUCAAAGACUAAUGAGCAGUUUAAUAAAAAUUGGCUACAUGAUCCUAGGUCCCCAGAGUACAGUCGGAGGAGGAACGUGUGGCUCUUUGUACAGGAGGUGGGGUUGAUCGGAGGCUGUGGGCUCGGGAGCAAUACUCACGGAAGGAUUGCUGAAGUGGCUCUCGGAUGACCGAAGGGAUACUUGUUGUGUGAGGGUAUUCAAAGAUUCCAUGAUCUCGCGGAGGGCUUUGUCCUGUCUGCCUAUUUGCGUGUCCUGAUGGGUGAGCGCUUCCCUCUACGCUUUUGAUGUUGCUGGGUCCAUGAUGGCCAGAGUAUUCUGUCACGAUACUAAUUCGUAUCAGCUUUGACUGGACCCAAAAGCAGACUGAAGCGGCGGGAGUAGAUUUAGAAUAGUUUAUUGAAGGUUGGCUCAGGGUAAGGAUAUCCAAGGUGAGAGGGUGGACCGUCGGGACAAGGAGCGAGCAGGAAGCAGGGAUGUGAGCAGGUGGAACUGCAGGAAACAACCACGACAUUAACUUAGGUUAGUGAUGGACUAUGGCACAUUUGGACAAAUUUCUUUUUGUCGCUUCAGUAGGAUCGGAACUCCUAAACAGGACACCCAUAACCUCAAAUCAUGAAACAGGCUGUUGUUUGGGUACAUGCAAUUAUUCAAACAAUCAAUCUAAAUAUUCUUACAAAAUCGGUAUUUUUAAAUGGAACUCCAAAGUAUUGAUUCACAGUAACAAUUGCAGGUUUAUUUAAAAGAUCUGCCUGUGAAGUUAGAGGUCAAUGUGUUACUUCGUCUUAUGAACAUCUUUUUACCUCUUCAUGCCUUC